UAUGGUUGCCAGCAGCCGCGGUAAUACGUAGGGGGCAAGCGUUAUCCGGAUUUACUGGGUGUAAAGGGAGCGUAGACGGCAUGGCAAGCCAGAUGUGAAAGCCCGGGGCUCAACCCCGGGACUGCAUUUGGAACUGUCAGGCUAGAGUGUCGGAGAGGAAAGCGGAAUUCCUAGUGUAGCGGUGAAAUGCGUAGAUAUUAGGAGGAACACCAGUGGCGAAGGCGGCUUUCUGGACGAUGACUGACGUUGAGGCUCGAAAGCGUGGGGAGCAAACAGG
Molecule: ribosomal RNA, 277 nt
Filed under: Mediterraneibacter gnavus ATCC 29149
Lineage: Bacteria; Bacillati; Bacillota; Clostridia; Lachnospirales; Lachnospiraceae
Description: [Ruminococcus] gnavus ATCC 29149 partial 16S ribosomal RNA
Rfam family: Bacterial small subunit ribosomal RNA
Source: RNAcentral